Alexandromys fortis (reed vole) is the source of this 1327-nucleotide long non-coding RNA. RefSeq lists it as uncharacterized. The record is from RefSeq and is a predicted model, not a curated record. Lineage: Eukaryota; Metazoa; Chordata; Mammalia; Rodentia; Cricetidae. The transcript is spliced from 3 exons.
CACUUCGGGAGCCUCCCCUCCGCCCGCUCAGAGACAGCAGCCUCAGGGAACGCCGCACUUCCGCCUCCCUAGCCGUCGGCCCGGAAGAGGUCGCUACUGACCCAGAAGGAGAACCUGCAGCGCCCGGUCCUUCUCUGACUUGGGCUUUAAGAAUGCACCAUUUCCUGGAAUUCUAGAAAGGAAGAGGAGAGAACAGACUCAGUGUUUGGCAGGGAAACAAAUUCUCGGAGAAGCACGGUCCAAUUCAGGACAAGCCUGGAAGACACCGUGAGCACCGGGCAUUUGCCUGCAUGUGUAACGGUGCCCCGGAAGAGAGCAUUGAAUUCCCAGGAACUGAAGUUAUAGACAGUCAAGAACCACUAUGUGGGUACUGGGAACAGAACCCAGUUCCUCUACAAAAGAAACCAGUGCUCUUAUCCACUAAGCCAUCUCUCCAGGUCUCCUUUUGGAUUUUUGCCUGUAAUCUUAGCACAGGGGCUGGUACCACCAAACCCUGCUAAAGGUGUGGCCCAGGCUGGCCUCUUCAACAUCUGACUACCACUGUGUGCUGCCGGGGUCAGCAAAUUUCCUGACAGAAAAUGAAGAUAAUGACUGGACACUGUGGUGCACACCUGUGAUCCUAAAUGAGUGUGCAUUGUCUGACACGGAUACAGCCAUGGCAAGGACCAGUGCCUCGGUGCCUCAUCCCAUGGGAGUGGCAGAGCCUUCCCCGGGAGACUCAGGGAUGGCAGAGCCUUCCCCAGGUGAGGCUCAGGGAUGGCAGAGCCUUCCCCAGGUGAGGCGAGGGAUGGCAGAGCCUUCCUCAGGAGACUCAGAGAUGGCAGAGCCUUCCCUGGGUGAGGCGAGGGAUGGCAGAGCCUUCCCCAGGUGAGGCUCAGGGACGGCAGAGUCUUUCCCCAGUGAAGCUAGGGAUGACAGAGCCUUCCUCUGCUCUGAGUGCAAAUGUUGACAGUGUGUGCAGACGAUGCCCGACAGACCUUUCUCCUCUGGAAAAUGCCCCACAGUGCUUUCUCCCCUGGGAUAUUUAUAGACUAGAGACUGCUCCCCUACAGAGAUGGUCCCUACCCGAUGAGCCUUUGUUCAGCUGUAAACAAUAACUCUGCCUCUCUGUUUAUCUGUAUGUAAUAACCCCACCUCCCUGUUUCUCUGUAUGUAAUAACCCCGCCUCCCUGUUUAUCUGUAUGUAAUAACCCGCCUCCCUGUUUAUCUCUAUGUAAUAACCCCUCCCUAUUCAACAGUUUAUAAUAAACAUACUAACUACUGGUGUGCGGAGGCUUCUCCAUCCAAAAGCCUGGACCAUGCAAUCCCAGCUCUUCUGUGUCCAUGU